This is a non-coding RNA of Neurospora crassa OR74A, 644 nucleotides long. The record is from RefSeq and is a predicted model, not a curated record. NCBI's taxonomy places the organism in Eukaryota, Fungi, Ascomycota, Sordariomycetes, Sordariales, Sordariaceae.
AACCAUUGUCGAAUGUUGCACAACUACUACUAUGUAGCUCCAGAGAGACAACCCUCAACAGACGACGCGGCGAGGAAUGACUUCCAAUGUGCUUUGCGGCAAUCAACCGUACUCGAUAAACGGCAAAGGGAAGGAAGCAUGGAAAUCAUAGUAUGAAUAGCAUGGGGCGUCUCCUUGACGGUCUUGUCCUUCAACGUCAGCGAUGGUGCGGGGUCCAUGGGCCUCUGAGGACCACAGUACACAGGGCAGGCUCUAAUCCCGAUAGCGACGAGGGCUCAACGUCUUAGAUGACACUUGGCGCGAUAAGACGGCGAUGGGGAUGUAGAUGGCGAUGGCUAGGAUCUGCCAACAUCCUUCCUCUUGCUGUUGUCUGAGAGUCCUACAUCGGCCGGCUCCUCAACUGCAGUGCUGGAUGCCGGUCAAACCCCCAACUUCUCGGUGAGUGGCCCUUUCUGCCUCGGAAUCAUCGUGCCGGCUGUUGUUCGCCUGAUGGAGGGCAUCUUGUUGGAUGAGUGAAUGGUUACGGCCGAAGUCUCUUCGACAGAGAGGCGUCGUGCAUGGCAUGUUGAAGAUUUAUCGGCAUGCAUAUUGCCAGAGCUUUCAAGUACGUUCGUAUAUGGUAGCUCUAAGCGCAGCAUUAUGCA